This is a long non-coding RNA of Haliotis rubra (blacklip abalone), 185 nucleotides long. RefSeq lists it as uncharacterized. The record is from RefSeq and is a predicted model, not a curated record. Lineage: Eukaryota; Metazoa; Mollusca; Gastropoda; Lepetellida; Haliotidae. The transcript has 2 exons.
UAUGCAUGCAUGCAUGCAACACUUUGGUAUGCAUGUGUGUCUGUAUGUUAUGUAAGUCAGUGUAUAUUUAUUCAUGCAUGCAUGUGUGCAUCAGCAGGGAAGCCCACAACAGAUAUGGAGUUACUUCUUUUGAAUAAUCACCUAAAUUAGUUUCAUAAACUUUCAAAAAUUUGAACUGUUCUGUC